AUGAAUUGCGAGCCGCGGUGCGCAUCCAAGCACCGACCAGCAUUACCAGAGCCACCGUAUUUGCACGCAUUCAGGAGGAGGAAUUGGACAUUCAGCGCCCUCGCCUAUGACCCGCUUCUGCAGGACGGCCACCGCCACUGCCUAGCGUGCCACCGGCGUUGGGACGUCCUCCCCCAACACCAUCAGUGCCACCUGCCACUUCAGUACCCCGCGUCGUUCCGGCACCUAAGCAAGCCCCGGACGAUUUCGGGCGCGAGCGGCAGCUGCGAGACUACAGACGCCAGCAUGGCCUCUGUUUUCGUUGUGGCAACAAAUACUCAAGGGACCACCAAUGCAAACGCUCAGCGCAGUUGCUCACAAUAG
This 363-nucleotide ribosomal RNA is filed under the name Triticum aestivum (bread wheat). Its description in RNAcentral is "partial small subunit ribosomal RNA". Lineage: Eukaryota; Viridiplantae; Streptophyta; Magnoliopsida; Poales; Poaceae. The record is from RNAcentral.